GACAGUUUGGCCGAGUGGUUAAGGCGAUAGAUUGCUACUAUUCAAACACUUGAGCUUGCUCUUGUUGAUUGAUUAACCUUCUAUUGCGCAUUGCGUUCAUGAGUUCGAAUCUCAUAGCUGUCG
Molecule: transfer RNA, 123 nt
Organism: Wallemia sebi
Lineage: Eukaryota; Fungi; Basidiomycota; Wallemiomycetes; Wallemiales; Wallemiaceae
Rfam family: tRNA
About the family: Transfer RNA (tRNA) molecules are approximately 80 nucleotides in length. Their secondary structure includes four short double-helical elements and three loops (D, anti-codon, and T loops). Further hydrogen bonds mediate the characteristic L-shaped molecular structure. tRNAs have two regions of fundamental functional importance: the anti-codon, which is responsible for specific mRNA codon recognition, and the 3' end, to which the tRNAs corresponding amino acid is attached (by aminoacyl-tRNA synthetases). tRNAs cope with the degeneracy of the genetic code in two manners: having more than one tRNA (with a specific anti-codon) for a particular amino acid; and 'wobble' base-pairing, i.e. permitting non-standard base-pairing at the 3rd anti-codon position.
Source: Rfam